CUUUGGGCACAGCACAACACAACCAAGUGAGCACUGGAAACCUGGCACCCAUAGGAUAUUGAAAGUUAUCAGGAUAUUCUUCCCACUCCAAGAUCCAGGAAAGUAACACAUCAAUACAGGACAAGGAGAUGCUUCAACAUCAGAAAUGCAUGGGAGAGUUCUGGAUGUUGGGAAGCAGAAGAACAAGGUGCCAGCAGAUCCAGUGUCUGUGAGAGCUGCUGUCAGCUUCCAGAUGGUGCCUUAUUGCUACAUCCUUUAAGGUGUUGAACCCUGUGUCUUCACAUGGCCAAAAGAAGAGAAGGGUAAAAAGAGCCUUGCUAGUUCCCUCUAGCCCUUUUAUAAGGUCAUAGGAAAUGAAACAGACUGCUGUUUUCAUGAGAAGCAUUUACAGAGGGAAAUAAGGACACUCACCAAAUAGGGCUAAUUUGAAGAAGGACACAGCUGACUUAGUAGGAAGAAGGCAGAAGAAUUAUCUCCUGGUAAUCAAGACUCUGAAAAUAAGACUUAAGAUAAAAGACUGGAUACAUGCAAGAACAGAGUUCUUAAAGAUCACCAGCUGAAGAUUGUGAUUUUUCAUUCUUCUAUGCCCUAAGACAGCCAUAUUUUACCAUUUGAAACAUAAAUAAAAAUGACUUCCAGGCUUAUUUGAUUACAGACUGAAUUGCUCUAUCAUAGGAUGACAAGCAAUGACAGAUAGGUUCCCCAUAAAGAAAAGUCUGUGAGACUCCAUAUUUCCUGUAAAAGAUGAUAUGAGGAAACCGGGCAGAUUUUUCUUUCAUUCAUACUCUUUUAUAUGGGGGCAAUAGUACUGUCAAUCUCUAUUAUAUCAUUAGGUUACCUGGAAGGUCUUAUGUUUGGCAGUGGAAUGUAAGUUUUAGGGUAAUUUUUCUGAGUGGCAACCCAAGGCCAAUGUAGUAAAUUUUGAAAGAUCAAUUAAAUUACAGAAAAGGCUUGCAUAACAUAAAUGUGUUCUGCCCACUUGUCAACAUGGGUAAAGAUAUUAAUAUUGUAACAAGUGCAAUGACAGAAUUUCAUUUUCAGACUCCAGACUUCUUAACAGUAGCAGUGGCAAGGCAUCAAACCAGUGAGUUUUGCUUCUU
This 1100-nucleotide long non-coding RNA is filed under the name Homo sapiens (human). RNAcentral's name for it is "HSALNT0128430". The record is from RNAcentral. Lineage: Eukaryota; Metazoa; Chordata; Mammalia; Primates; Hominidae.